RNAcentral lists this ribosomal RNA (324 nucleotides) under uncultured bacterium. RNAcentral describes it as "bacterial SSU rRNA". It matches the Rfam family "Bacterial small subunit ribosomal RNA", at positions 28 to 334 of the family's 1533-position model. The record is from RNAcentral.
GAUGAACGCUGGCGGCGUGCCUAACACAUGCAAGUCGAGCGAAGCGCUUAAAUUGGAUUCUUCGGAUGAAGAUUUUUGUGACUGAGCGGCGGACGGGUGAGUAACGCGUGGGUAACCUGCCUUACACAGGGGGAUAACAGUUAGAAAUGACUGCUAAUACCGCAUAAGACCACGGUACCGCAUGGUAUGGUGGUAAAAACUGAGGUGGUGUAAGAUGGACCCGCGUCUGAUUAGGUAGUUGGUGGGGUAACGGCCCACCAAGCCGACGAUCAGUAGCCGCCCUGAGAGGGUGGACGGCCACAUUGGGACUGAGACACGGCCCAG